Molecule: non-coding RNA, 23 nt
Filed under: Rattus norvegicus (Norway rat)
Lineage: Eukaryota; Metazoa; Chordata; Mammalia; Rodentia; Muridae
Source: RNAcentral
UGAUAGAUGGAGUAUGUCAGGGU